RNAcentral lists this ribosomal RNA (1689 nucleotides) under Salmonella enterica subsp. enterica serovar Oranienburg. Its description in RNAcentral is "partial 23S ribosomal RNA". It matches the Rfam family "Bacterial large subunit ribosomal RNA", at positions 1187 to 2802 of the family's 2925-position model. Lineage: Bacteria; Pseudomonadati; Pseudomonadota; Gammaproteobacteria; Enterobacterales; Enterobacteriaceae. The record is from RNAcentral.
CGUAUCACUUAAAGCGAUUCAGCGGAUGACGAUUGACGGAGCGAAGCGACGUCAAAGCGUAUACAAAGUCGAGUCGGUUUAAGGAUACGUUCGUUGGGUAGGGGAGCGUUCUGUAAGCCUGCGAAGGUGGCCUGUGAGGGUUGCUGGAGGUAUCAGAAGUGCGAAUGCUGACAUAAGUAACGAUAAAGCGGGUGAAAAGCCCGCUCGCCGGAAGACCAAGGGUUCCUGUCCAACGUUAAUCGGGGCAGGGUGAGUCGACCCCUAAGGCGAGGCCGAAAGGCGUAGUCGAUGGGAAACGGGUUAAUAUUCCCGUACUUGGUGUUACUGCGAAGGGGGGACGGAGAAGGCUAUGUUGGCCGGGCGACGGUUGUCCCGGUUUAAGCGUAUAGGUGUGUGUUCCAGGUAAAUCCGGUUCACUUUAACACUGAGGCGUGAUGACGAGGCGCUACGGUGCUGAAGCAACAAAUGCCCUGCUUCCAGGAAAAGCCUCUAAGCAUCAGGUAACAUCAAAUCGUACCCCAAACCGACACAGGUGGUCAGGUAGAGAAUACCAAGGCGCUUGAGAGAACUCGGGUGAAGGAACUAGGCAAAAUGGUGCCGUAACUUCGGGAGAAGGCACGCUGACAUGUAGGUGAAGUGAUUUACUCAUGGAGCUGAAGUCAGUCGAAGAUACCAGCUGGCUGCAACUGUUUAUUAAAAACACAGCACUGUGCAAACACGAAAGUGGACGUAUACGGUGUGACGCCUGCCCGGUGCCGGAAGGUUAAUUGAUGGGGUCAGCGCAAGCGAAGCUCCUGAUCGAAGCCCCGGUAAACGGCGGCCGUAACUAUAACGGUCCUAAGGUAGCGAAAUUCCUUGUCGGGUAAGUUCCGACCUGCACGAAUGGCGUAAUGAUGGCCAGGCUGUCUCCACCCGAGACUCAGUGAAAUUGAACUCGCUGUGAAGAUGCAGUGUACCCGCGGCAAGACGGAAAGACCCCGUGAACCUUUACUAUAGCUUGACACUGAACAUUGAGCCUUGAUGUGUAGGAUAGGUGGGAGGCUUUGAAGUGUGGACGCCAGUCUGCAUGGAGCCGACCUUGAAAUACCACCCUUUAAUGUUUGAUGUUCUAACGUGGACCCGUAAUCCGGGUUGCGGACAGUGUCUGGUGGGUAGUUUGACUGGGGCGGUCUCCUCCUAAAGAGUAACGGAGGAGCACGAAGGUUGGCUAAUCCUGGUCGGACAUCAGGAGGUUAGUGCAAUGGCAUAAGCCAGCUUGACUGCGAGCGUGACGGCGCGAGCAGGUGCGAAAGCAGGUCAUAGUGAUCCGGUGGUUCUGAAUGGAAGGGCCAUCGCUCAACGGAUAAAAGGUACUCCGGGGAUAACAGGCUGAUACCGCCCAAGAGUUCAUAUCGACGGCGGUGUUUGGCACCUCGAUGUCGGCUCAUCACAUCCUGGGGCUGAAGUAGGUCCCAAGGGUAUGGCUGUUCGCCAUUUAAAGUGGUACGCGAGCUGGGUUUAGAACGUCGUGAGACAGUUCGGUCCCUAUCUGCCGUGGGCGCUGGAGAACUGAGGGGGGCUGCUCCUAGUACGAGAGGACCGGAGUGGACGCAUCACUGGUGUUCGGGUUGUCAUGCCAAUGGCACUGCCCGGUAGCUAAAUGCGGAAGAGAUAAGUGCUGAAAGCAUCUAAGCACGAAACUUGCCCCGA